UACAGCCAGUGGAAUAUUGACAGAGUUCAAGUAUAACGAUGAAAAGAAACGGUAUCAAGGCAGCAGCAGCGACGCGCAGCUCUUCACAAGACCGCGUCGGAAACGGCUGUUAGCUUGCUCUGUGCCCUAAAUGAUAAUGCUGCCAGCCAUGGUUUUCUUUCUCUCUCCCUGCUAUUAUGGUCGGGUCGCAUUUGAUAGAAGAGCUUUUCCCCAAUUACAGAACGGAUCGGUACUACGAGACGUUCAAUACUGAAAACCCAAGGGGUGAUGUUCGGAUUCGCGUUUAUCGUCGAAGGAAUGAGCGUUACACCGAGGCCUGUACUCUGGAUGGAGCGGGAUCAAUUUGGAGGUGGAGGGUCCGUCAUGGUCUGGGGCGGUGUGUCACAGCAUCAUCGGACUGAGCUUGUUAUCUUUGCAGGCAAUCUCAACACUGUGCAUUAAAGGAAAGACAUCCUCCUCCCUCAUGUGGUACCCUUCCUGCAGGCUCAUCCUGACAUGACCGUCCAGCAUGACAAUGCCACCAACCAUACUGCUCGAUCUGCUCGUGAUUUCCUGCAAGACAGGAAUGUCAGUGUUCUGCCAUGGCCAGCGAAGAGACCGGAUCUCAAUCCCAUUGAGCACGUCUGGGACCUGUUGGAUCGGAGGGUGAGGGCUAGGGCCAUUCCCCCCAGAAAUGUCCGGGAAAUUGCAGGUGCCUUGGUGGAAGAGUGGGGUAACAUCUCACAGCAAGAACUGGCAAAUCUGGUGCAGUCCAUGAGGAGGAGAUGCACUGCAGUACCUAGAAUCUGGUGUGGCCACCAGCAGCAUUGACUUACUUUAGACCCUCACAUUAUUCAAUUUCUGUUAGUCACAUGUCUGUGGAACUUGUUCAGUUUGUGUCUCAGUUGUUGAAUCUUGUUAUGUUCAUACAAAUAUUUACACAUGUUAAGUUUGCUGAAAAUAAACGAGGAUGACAGUGAGAGGACGUUUAUUUUUUUGCUGAGUUUAUAAGUGCUGUUAUUGUGAAGUGGAAACGUCUAGGAGCAACAACAGCUCAGCCGCGAAGUGGUAGGCCACACAGGCAAACAGAACGGGGCUGCCCAGUGCUGAAGCGCCUAGCGCGUAAGAAUCGUCUGUCCUCGGUUGCAACACUCACUACAGAGUUCCAAACUACCUCUGGAAGCAACGUCAGCACAAGAACUGUUUGUCGGCAUCUUCAAGAAAUGGGUUUCCAUGGCCGAGCAGCAGCACACAAGUCUAAGAUCAUCACGCGCAAUGCCAAGCGUCGGCUGGAGUGGUGUAAAGCUCGCCGCCAUUGGACUCUAAAGCAAUGGAAACACGUUCUCUGGAGAAAUGAAUCACGCGUCACCAUCUGACAGUCCAACGGACAAAUCUGGGUUUGGCAGAUGACAGCAGAACACUACCUGCCCCAAUGCAUAGUGCCAACUGUAAAGCUUGGUGGAGGAGGAAUAAUAGUCUGGGACCAUUUUGUAUGGUUCGGGCUAGGCUCCUUAGUUCCAGCUAAGGGAAAUUUUAACGCUAUAGCAUACAAUGACAUUCUAGACGAUUCUGUGCUUCCAACUUUGUGGCAACGGUUUGAGGAAGGCCCUUUCCUGUUUCAGCAUGACAAUGCCCGUGCUCAGUGUGGAUGAACUUGACUAGCCUGCACAGAGCCCUGACCUCAACCCCAUCGAACACCUUUGGGAUGAAUUGGAAUACCGACUGCAAGCCAGGCCUAAUCGCCCAACAUCACUAAUGCUUUUGUGGCUGAAUGGAAGCAAAUCCCCGCAGCAAUGUUCCAAUAUCUAAUGGAAAGCAGGUGUCCUACUUUUGGUCAUGUAGUGUACCUCAACAUCCUUCAUACGUCCUUCAUACUGGACACAGAGACAUAAAUAUGGUAUCCACGAGUUCAACUGACUAUGGGGAAGUAGAUAAAGGGCAUCAUCGUCAAAAUCCCAAAGUAUCCCUUUAAUUUGGUGCCAUAAUCAAGGUCUGUUUUAGAAAGAUAGUGUUCUGACCUGAGUGCCUAUUCUUCUACCUAAUAAAAUAAAUAGGGGAUGGAUAUAGAAUCUGAGAGAGAAUGCCUUUCCCAUUCCAGUCAUGAAGAUUAAUGACGCAGCAGCGUAAUCCUUCACUUCGUCAAUACCAACCUGUCUCUGGGUACAUUAGGUGAAAAAGUGACAUUAUCAAACGUGAAUGAGAUCUUAUUAUAAAGCCAGAGAGUGUCUUACCAGGAUGGCUCUAAAAACCGUUGAGCUGAUUCCAUCUGCCACCUCAAACUCUCCUUUGUCAUUGGGCCUAGUGAAAUUGUAUUCUCUCCCGGAUCCAAACAUUCUAUGAGAGAAGAAAAACAUUCAGAUUGAAAUUAAUUUGUUUUAAUAUCCCUUUUGGAUGUCACUUUAAUUUCUGGUGAUACAAUAGUAUGCUUUAUACCUUCCCAGCAUGGUGUUGGGCUGGGCGGUGAAGAUGGCCGGGUCCACCAGGAAGCGGGUGUUGUCCACUAUCAGAGUGACCCUCUCGGCGGUCCGUAAUGUGCGCGUCCCCUCCUUUGCGUUCUCAUAGACGUAGAGGUGGUCACAGGGACCGUGCACGUGUCCAUGGCCCAGACUCUUACAGUGGGUCUCAGUACUGAAAAGGCUGCUCCUGCUCGCUGCGAUGCAGCUGGGCCCCACGGAGAUUAAGGCCCUGGGGGGCCGAGGACUCGACGACCUGGAGGAAGAACCACCCUCGCACCGCUCACGAUCUGGGAGACAGACAGGCAGAGUACCAUAAUUAAGGUGCCAACACUGCUGUCUCAUCACACUGGAUGAAAAGGGACAUUGUUAACGCUGGUCAAGUAAUUGAAAGCUUUUGCAAGAGUCAAAAUGCUUUCCUUUCAAGACUUUCCUAUUCAACUCUUACUGUAGCAAUUUAAACAUCAUUCAGUUAUAGGCUUAAUUCCCUGAGUGGGUACAGACUGAGUAGGAGUAGUAUGACUACCUGGCUCCGCCUCUGGGUGAGGCUUUAAGGCGAUUUCAACACAAUGAAACCACAUUUCUGAGAGCUCUGAUUCAGUCACUGCUUUUAUGUAGUUAGAAAGGGACUCAAUCUCACAGCUGUACCGGAGGCAUGAGAAAGCACCCUGUGUGGUCUCAAAGCAGUAAUGGAGUACUCACCGCUGUUGUGCUGUCGGGUGGGCGAGGUGACGUUCCUGAUGCAAGGGGUCAGCUGACCCUCUCCCCUCUCGUGGGAGGAGUCUCGGGAGCGGUCGCUAGACCUCCGGCGAUCACUGUCCCUGCAGCGUUCGAGGCCUCCGCUGGCGCCAUGCAGGUUCAUGUUGACCAGGUCGGCCUCUAGUUGAGGGACUGGAACGCGGGGCUGGGCACUGAGAGGAGCACACCACACACAGUCAGACCCACACACACGAGCACGGAGGGGGAAAGGGAGUAUUUUGUAUGCUUCUCUGCAGAGAAGUGGGUAAAAGCCUGCAGUAAACUCAUAUGAACCCUCUGAGAGAAAAAAAAAAUAGCAGCGCUGACUGCUGUAGAAAGACAGCCAAUACAACACUACUGCUUGCUGCCUGCAGUCCUAUACUUUGAGAAACACAUUAGGGAGUGAAAGAACACAUAAAUAGGACUAUUACACCUCUUGGAGUGGCAUUGGUAAAAUAUGAAAUAUUACACUGAUGGAGCAUGAAGUACCAAACACACCUUCUUGAAAUCAUUUUUUAAAAAUAGUUCCACAGGAUAAUAACCCUAUUAUCCAUCGCAAAAGAGCCUAUCUGUAGGGAAACUGGAGAAACUGGCCAUCCCAUUGAGACAGGCAGAGAAGCCGAAAGCAUCCACAAGAGCUGUUAUGUUAUCUGCGGCAGCCACCUUACCUCUGAAAGCUCUCACACUGUCUGGACUGUCUAGUCUGACCAGCGUGCCAUGCAGCAGGUCUCCCUAAUAAAGAGUGCGUCCCUCCCGAGGGAAGUGAUUAUCAAAUAUGAUGAGGCUAAAGUGAAUGGACUGGAGAGCAGCAGCACGAAAGAGGAACUCUCAAAGACGGGAGAGCUCUAGAGAAGCUGCCUUUAUAGCACCUCAAAUGGACGACAUCCAUCCACCUUCUAGCUCACGAUAGAAAUAUUCAACCCAGUCAACCGUUAACAAUGUCUGACUGAGGCGCCACCUCUACUGAUGAAGUCCCAGAGAGUGCGAGAGAUGGCUCACUGACUGAGUAGGAAAAAUCUAAAGUCAUUCCACUACAUGUGGACAACUUCAUUUCAGCAGACAUGUCUUUAAAAAAAAAUGUUAAAGGAUGUGGAAAGAUUGGGCUGAUUGUAAUAUCUUGUUCAUAGUGUUAACACUUAUUGAAACAAAUAAUUGUCUAAAUUUCAACAGCAACUGAAUGGAUGCUAAUGACUGGUCCAGAAACGGGAAGUUGUAAUCACAUUGUAUGCAGGUCAGGGACCGCCAGGCCUGCCCUACAGUACGUGGGUCCCCUGAUCUUUGUGCAGCUUGUCCUCGUUACUACACCUGCAUUGAAUUCUGUACUGCUAUGAGUCUUUCAGCCAUGUAAAUAAAAACAACAAUGAGAGAACUAAA
Salvelinus fontinalis (brook trout) is the source of this 4544-nucleotide long non-coding RNA. RefSeq lists it as uncharacterized. NCBI's taxonomy places the organism in Eukaryota, Metazoa, Chordata, Actinopteri, Salmoniformes, Salmonidae. The record is from RefSeq and is a predicted model, not a curated record. The transcript has 2 exons.